CAGUUCGUUUGAUUUGUUUUAUUCACUGGACACACGUGCGGCUGCUGCUUUGUUACAUUGGACACCAAACUUAAAAUUCUCCGCGCUGUUCUGUUAAUUACAGAUUAUCUGUUUACAUAUAACAACACGCGAAAGCAGAGGCAAUAGCAGCGACGAGGAAGCUCAAAGUAACGGCAGGCCCGGCUACUGUCUUGGCGACGGCACCAGCUAGAACGUAUACGCCUAGACCCAAGGUGCUGCCCACUCCCAGCGCCGUCAGAUCCAGUAAUCCAAGACAUCGCGCCAGCUCGCUACCACCUUGACUGUCAUCCAGCCGCUUGCAGCGCCGCAGCGCCGACAGUAUCCUAGCGCAACCCAUCUUGUCUGCCGAAGCUUACUGAGAAAAAAUACGAAAAAUGAAAAUCAUAAUAUGUAAAAGUAUAUCUAAAUCAAUGUUUUCUGUUUUCUUUUUUUUAAACUUAUUUCCGGUUUAUAUAUAUUUAUAAUAACUUCUCAAUGACCUAGUAUUUUUUUUUAAUAUAGAAUUUUGCGUUUGUAGUCAAAAAGUCUUAUGAGUUUAUAAUUGGCUUUAAAUCGUCUAAGAAAGGAUUAUGUGCCAUAAAAUAUGAUGACUGUCGUUAAAUCGCAGCUUAUCAUGACAAAUCUGAAUUGUUUUAUUGUUUAAAACUGGCUUCACUUGUAGAUUUGAAAUAUAGAAGAUUUCAUUGUACAUGAUUUUUUUUUAAAGUAAUACUGGCUCGUUCUGUUAUGGAAAACUUCUUGAUGUAUGGUUUAACACCAAAACUUCCUACGUCUAAUGAUUAAUUUAAACUAAAGAAAGUUGUUCCAUUUCCUAUUGGGAAGUUAUUAUUUUUUUAUUUCUAUAAGGUGUGAAAAUUGUAUAGAAGUUCAGUAUCAAUCUAAAUUGUAAACAGGAUGUAAGAUUGAAUAAUGGUAUCAAAGCAAUUAUGUCUAAGUUAAA
Molecule: long non-coding RNA, 961 nt
Organism: Pieris brassicae (large cabbage white)
Lineage: Eukaryota; Metazoa; Arthropoda; Insecta; Lepidoptera; Pieridae
Exons: 3
Source: RefSeq, a predicted model, not a curated record